RNAcentral lists this ribosomal RNA (253 nucleotides) under uncultured bacterium. RNAcentral describes it as "partial 16S ribosomal RNA". It matches the Rfam family "Bacterial small subunit ribosomal RNA", at positions 524 to 776 of the family's 1533-position model. The record is from RNAcentral.
UACGUAGGUGGCAAGCGUUGUCCGGAAUUAUUGGGCGUAAAGCGCGCGCAGGUGGUUCCUUAAGUCUGAUGUGAAAGCCCACGGCUCAACCGUGGAGGGUCAUUGGAAACUGGGGAACUUGAGUGCAGGAGAGAAGAGUGGAAUUCCACGUGUAGCGGUGAAAUGCGUAGAGAUGUGGAGGAACACCAGUGGCGAAGGCGGCUCUCUGGAACGGUACUGACGCUGAGACGCGAAAGCGUGGGGAGCGAACAGG